GCCCAUGGUGCGGGCACUUGACCAAAAGAUCAUGAAAUAUUUCCCAAAGUUGGGAAAAUUCCUCCUCUGAUUUUUCUCUAAAAGUUCUGAUGGCAUCUUUAAUUUUUUCAGUUUUUACCAUGGGAUAGAACUUAGCCAUAAACUUCCUAGAUAGCUGUUCCCAUGAUGUGAUGGAAUUUGAAGCAAGGGAAUACAGCCAUGCAGCAGCACGAUCUUCUAAAGUCAUGGGAAAUAA
RNAcentral lists this long non-coding RNA (235 nucleotides) under Phoenix dactylifera (date palm). RNAcentral's name for it is "long non-coding RNA (PDAC_LNC020809)". Lineage: Eukaryota; Viridiplantae; Streptophyta; Magnoliopsida; Arecales; Arecaceae. The record is from RNAcentral.